Molecule: unclassified non-coding RNA, 871 nt
Filed under: Drosophila yakuba
Lineage: Eukaryota; Metazoa; Arthropoda; Insecta; Diptera; Drosophilidae
Description: GE29212
Source: RNAcentral
UCUGUGUGUUUGGGAUGCAAGUUAUUUGAUUUUUAAUUUUCUGGGACUUUUCAUUCGAAAUUGGAAACAGCAUGCUAAAUAUUUACACAUCGAUGUCUCCCCAUCUCAUUUGCAUAUAACAGCUGGAUUAAUGCAAAUGCUCUUUGAUUAAAACUCUAAUAUUUGCCUUAUAACUAUCAUCACUUAUUCAUUGCUGACCUAGGGCUAAUAUUUGCAUUACACUGCUGCAGGCGGCUUAAAUUAUUUAGCAUGCAAAACUGAAAAAUGGAAUUAAAUCAACGUUGAAGAUGUCGAGCAGAAAAACACGAAAUUUAAAGAAAAAUCAGAGGGGUGAGGGCUUGUUAUAAAUAUUCAUAAGCGAAAACAGAGUACACACAUUUACCUUAAAGAGGCACAGAGCUGGUCUAAAUACUAGUUUGUACAUCAUGCAGAAUUGAAAAUACGGAUUGAAAUUAAUGCAUUGGACCGGAAAGAAGGAGUGGAGUCUCGGCUCGCCGAACCUGGCCAAACCCUUGCAAAUUCAACACGGAUUAGGUUUGACAGUCUUAAGUGGCAGAUUCCAAACGGACUUAACAGUUUCCUUUGCAAGAGUCGAAAAGGAAAAGGUGGGGAUGCGAGAUUUCGGAGCAGAAGUAGGCUUUGGGGAUCAAGAGACAGAGGAGAGAGCAAAAGAUACACAGGUACGAGUAUACGAGUAUAAACAUUUUGGGGACACAGUCGAACUUCCAACGGAGUUAAAAGUAGAUAAAAACGGGGUCCACAUAAAACUCAGGUUGAAAUAGAAUACUUGGCACACAUUGAUCUCCAUCAAGACACAACAUCAACUAUAGACCACACCAAUAUGCAGCAGAUAUAUCUGAACGCAUCUAGG